AAGAAAGCAAAGCAGACCUGAGCUUAUAACUUCAAAUUAUUUUUCAAAAAGAUGAGGAUGUCUACAUUGUCUGGGGAGAGGGUAGGUCGCUAUGUCCCCUGCCGUGGAGAACACCCUCUCGCUAGGAACUGAAGUGCCUGGCACAGCCAGGUAGCAUCUUGUCAUCAUGGCAAUGUGAGGGUAUUUACACUCAUUGCUUUCCCACCAUGCCAGUGGAUCACCAUCCACUGCAAUGACACUUGCUGCCUUGUAGGAUGCCACCUCCUCUUGAUGGUGUUGGCAAACGUCUUGCCUGUGUCUUUGCUCACAAAGGUCUCCCCGAAAAGCUCCUUCUUGGCCAAAUUAUGUUGUGGAGGAGAUGCCUCUGAAUCUUCUCCUGUCGGCUCUGUGGCUUGACCCUGCAUAAAAAAUGACUAUUAAACAAACUAAUUAUUUAUUUUCAUAUUUCAUAGAACUGUAUUUGUGGCAAUAACAUUUUAAUAAAAGCCAUUAUUAUUCCAAAUCAAAAAUGGAUGAUUCUAAUAGCAAUAGCAUAGAUUAAGAUUAGACUGCAGUAUAUUUAUUAAGUAAUUCACUCAUAUUUACAUUUGUUUACCUCUUUAGUGGCCACAAUCUCAGUGGUGAGAUCACUGUAUGUCCUCCGGUGUAAGGCAGGGUUUAGGUGAGACAGGGACUUGAACCUUGGAUCCAGUGAAGUAGAGCUAUGAAGGUAGUCCUGUACAUUAGGGGGGGUAUCUGGGGUUCAGGUCCUCUCUAAUGGCAGCCUUGACAUCUCUAGUGAUGGUGCUGUCUUCCUCACUUGGGGCCAUGAAUCCUUGUUUUCAGAGGUAGGAUCAUGGACACAGACGGUGCAGUUUCAGUGCUCAAUAGGGUUGUAACCGUUUUGAGGGGUUUGAGCACCUGGAGGACCUCCUCUGACACUUUCACGUGAUAAUGUCUAUGUUUUUUCAGGGUCUUGUCUGUCAGGGCAGAGUAUACAGCUGCCUGAUGCUCAAGAUAGCUCUCCAACAUGUCAUAAGUGGAGUUACAUCUUGUUGUGACAUCGUGUAUGAGCUCGUGGGUCGGUAGCUGUAUCAUUUCUUGCUUGGUCUUAAGCACAUGAGCGGCUGUUGUGUGUCGUUGAAAAAAGGAAACCACCUUCCUGAUCCUCCCAAGGAGGCGGUCCAUCUGGUUCACUGAGAUUCCCCUUUGGGAUGCUAAAUAUGUUCUGGACUGUGGCCCCAGUCCAGCUUCUAUCACUGCAUUUACUUGGUUCUUGGCAUUUUCUGUGGUGAUAGAAAUGUCUCAAUUGGGCCUCUCUAGCUUCCACUCUGCUACUGCUCCUAGCAGUACUUGCGCCAGAUUUGUGACUCUCAUAGAGGGAGUAUGUCUGUAGCACCGGACUUCACAUAUCCCACUCCUCUGUGGUGUAGUGAGCAGUCACAGUCACGUAGCUUUCCAUUGCCUUGGUGAGGGCAACAGAGGAUGCCUUGGAUAAUUUGUCGACAAUUUUGAUAUUUUCCUGUUUAUAAAGAUCUGACACGAUCUUCAUACUGAAGUGUGGGGCGCGAGGGGAUUUCGUAGCGUGGCUCAAGCACUUUCACCAUAUUUCUAAACGCUUUGUUUUCCACAACAGAGUAUGGCCUCAUGUCUGUAGUGAUAAACAUCCCAAUAGAUUUGGUGAUGGCUUUAGUCCGGUCUGAUUCUGCAGCAAAGGGCUGCUUAAAUGCCGCGGUGAGAAGUUGUUGUCUCUUGGCUGAGUUGGCUCCCGUCAUUGACACACCAGGGUGGUGACGCUUUAAAUGUGUGGCCAUGCUCAAUGUCGCAAAGUUCAAGGGGGCCGAAUACUUUCGCAAGGCACUGUAAAAGAAGCGGGAGGCUUUUCCAGUUCUUCAGCUCCUCACUACUCUUUUUUUCUUCUUUGCUUUUUGCAACGCGAGCAUCCAGGGUUGAUUCGUUGGGAUUCAACAUGCCCCGUUCACGUGAACAGUACACACAACUGCUUUAAACAAAAUAAUCAAAUCAACCGUCAGGCUUCAGAGUAAAACACUUGUCUUAUCUUUGCACUGCAACUCUGCAUCGAGAUUGAGGGAAUUAUGACUUUAAAAAGUAUCAGCGGCAGUAAAACCUGUAUUUCACACUAUGAUGGUUAAACCUGGCAAUUGAUCCGCG
Oncorhynchus tshawytscha (Chinook salmon) is the source of this 2151-nucleotide long non-coding RNA. Lineage: Eukaryota; Metazoa; Chordata; Actinopteri; Salmoniformes; Salmonidae. The record is from Ensembl.